Malus domestica (apple) is the source of this 201-nucleotide non-coding RNA. The record is from RefSeq and is a predicted model, not a curated record. NCBI's taxonomy places the organism in Eukaryota, Viridiplantae, Streptophyta, Magnoliopsida, Rosales, Rosaceae.
CCUAAUCUUCAAAAUCCUCACUCGAGUAAUUUCACGGAAUUUACAGAGGACAUUUUCGUUUCUUUUAAGGAACCUCAAGAAUAUAUUUUUCAAGGAUUGGACCUUGACCAAUGCCACACUGCGUCCAAUUCCCCGAAUACAGUGGUCGAUAUCCCAGAUUUGACUACUCAAAUGAAUGAUAAUCACUUUGAAUUUCCUGAU